GCGGAUGUGGUGUAAAGGCAACACCGGAGUAUGCCAAACUUCAGAUGCGAGUUCAACUCUCGUCGUCCGCU
RNAcentral lists this transfer RNA (71 nucleotides) under Tolypothrix bouteillei VB521301. Its description in RNAcentral is "tRNA-Gly". It matches the Rfam family "tRNA". From Rfam's summary of the family: Transfer RNA (tRNA) molecules are approximately 80 nucleotides in length. Their secondary structure includes four short double-helical elements and three loops (D, anti-codon, and T loops). Further hydrogen bonds mediate the characteristic L-shaped molecular structure. tRNAs have two regions of fundamental functional importance: the anti-codon, which is responsible for specific mRNA codon recognition, and the 3' end, to which the tRNAs corresponding amino acid is attached (by aminoacyl-tRNA synthetases). tRNAs cope with the degeneracy of the genetic code in two manners: having more than one tRNA (with a specific anti-codon) for a particular amino acid; and 'wobble' base-pairing, i.e. permitting non-standard base-pairing at the 3rd anti-codon position. The record is from RNAcentral. RNAcentral also lists the same sequence under 1 other name. Lineage: Bacteria; Bacillati; Cyanobacteriota; Cyanophyceae; Nostocales; Tolypothrichaceae.